RNAcentral lists this unclassified non-coding RNA (275 nucleotides) under plant metagenome. RNAcentral describes it as "partial contains small subunit ribosomal RNA, internal transcribed spacer 1, and 5.8S ribosomal RNA". The record is from RNAcentral.
UUUCCGUAGGUGAACCUGCGGAAGGAUCAUUAUCGUACAAAAUGUGUGAGGCAUGCAAGGGUUGUCGCUGGCUUUCAAUGUUGUUGCACGCCGGAGCGUGUCCUCUCACAUAACACAAUCCAUCUCACCCUUUGUGCACCACCGCGUGGGCACCCUUUGGGAUCGGACCGAUCUCUUAGGGGACUCGCGUUUUCACACGACACCCUUUUGAAAAGUGUAGAAUGACCUCAUUUAUGCGAUCAAUACAACUUUCAACAACGGAUCUCUUGGCUCUC